Molecule: long non-coding RNA, 949 nt
Organism: Daphnia pulicaria
Lineage: Eukaryota; Metazoa; Arthropoda; Branchiopoda; Diplostraca; Daphniidae
Exons: 3
Source: RefSeq, a predicted model, not a curated record
UUAAAUAGAACAAUUUAUUAAUAAUCUUUAUGUUUUUAGCAUAAUAAGUCUGGCAUACGUCUUCCAUCUCGUAGCUAUUGGGAUGAUGCAUUGAGAUUUCCCAGCCCAUUACUCCUAGAAAUAAAAGCAGCUGACAGUAUAAUGGAGCGACAGAAAACACUGGAAGAAAAUGUCAUGGAAAAAGAAAAGGAAGAGAGCAUGGGACAGAUGGAAGAGGAGAGAAGUCAACAGCAGUUUUUUUUUAGAAGAAGAUGAGGGAAAGAAAACAAAAAAAGGCUGAAAAGAAAAAGAGGAAAAGGAUAAAGAAACGAGAGUUAAAGUGAAGGGAAAAAGAUGCCGAUAAUGGGAACGAUUUUAACGACGACCUGUAUGAUGACGACGAGUACGAUGAUUUUGACGUCAUGACCAGAUGGCCAGGAUAUUAGAGUCAGCAAGUGUCAAAAAGCUGUUUCCGAUGCAAAAUUCUAUGUUUCGUUGUAGAGAUGAGUUUGUUUGCAGCCUAGCUGCAAACAUUUCAUCAUGAAUAAAAUUUGAAGUUUUCACCUGUAAUUCAGAUCCAAUUUGCGAUGUUGACUGGAAAAUAAAUACAAAUAUUUUCGUGUCUUACGCUUAUUAUGGAUUCAUCUUCAUUCAUCGAGUAGGGCAUGACCAUCCACUGCGAACUUUUUCCGAUCAUCCCAUAAGCCUAUGUUAUGUAAUUUUUCACUAUUAUUUUAAAUUUUAAAAUGCGAUUCAAUUAAGCGUUGGGUAAAAUCAGUCAUCUGGAAUCCUGCUUCAAAUGUAUUAGCAACUUGUUCUGUGGAUUCAUCGCUUCAAGUAAACUCACACAUACACAGAAACAUUAUUUAAUGUUGGUUCUUACAAAGUUAGUUCUCUAUUAUUCAGGUUUGGAAAGAUGCAUUAAGAAUUAGCUCUGAACCAAAGGAAUUGAAUGGUCAUUAUCGAUCGG